Molecule: non-coding RNA, 93 nt
Organism: Mycena polygramma
Lineage: Eukaryota; Fungi; Basidiomycota; Agaricomycetes; Agaricales; Mycenaceae
Source: the annotation of a GenBank genome assembly
GCCCUCGUAGAUCAGUUGGUAGAUUCCCCAUUCACUUUGGAAUAAUAUGGACACAGUUUGCGGGCGACGUGGGUUCGACUCCCAUCGAGGGCC